GGUUAAGCGACUAAGCGUACACGGUGGAUGCCCUGGCAGUCAGAGGCGAUGAAGGACGUGCUAAUCUGCGAUAAGCGUCGGUAAGGUGAUAUGAACCGUUAUAACCGGCGAUUUCCGAAUGGGGAAACCCAGUGUGUUUCGACACACUAUCAUUAACUGAAUCCAUAGGUUAAUGAGGCGAACCGGGGGAACUGAAACAUCUAAGUACCCCGAGGAAAAGAAAUCAACCGAGAUUCCCCCAGUAGCGGCGAGCGAACGGGGAGCAGCCCAGAGCCUGAAUCAGUGUGUGUGUUAGUGGAAGCGUCUGGAAAGGCGCGCGAUACAGGGUGACAGCCCCGUACACAAAAAUGCACAUGCUGUGAGCUCGAUGAGUAGGGCGGGACACGUGGUAUCCUGUCUGAAUAUGGGGGGACCAUCCUCCAAGGCUAAAUACUCCUGACUGACCGAUAGUGAACCAGUACCGUGAGGGAAAGGCGAAAAGAACCCCGGCGAGGGGAGUGAAAAAGAACCUGAAACCGUGUACGUACAAGCAGUGGGAGCACGCUUAGGCGUGUGACUGCGUACCUUUUGUAUAAUGGGUCAGCGACUUAUAUUCUGUAGCAAGGUUAACCGAAUAGGGGAGCCGAAGGGAAACCGAGUCUUAACUGGGCGUUAAGUUGCAGGGUAUAGACCCGAAACCCGGUGAUCUAGCCAUGGGCAGGUUGAAGGUUGGGUAACACUAACUGGAGGACCGAACCGACUAAUGUUGAAAAAUUAGCGGAUGACUUGUGGCUGGGGGUGAAAGGCCAAUCAAACCGGGAGAUAGCUGGUUCUCCCCGAAAGCUAUUUAGGUAGCGCCUCGUGAAUUCAUCUCCGGGGUAGAGCACUGUUUCGGCAAGGGGGUCAUCCCGACUUACCAACCCGAUGCAAACUGCGAAUACCGGAGAAUGUUAUCACGGGAGACACACGGCGGGUGCUAACGUCCGUCGUGAAGAGGGAAACAACCCAGACCGCCAGCUAAGGUCCCAAAGUCAUGGUUAAGUGGGAAACGAUGUGGGAAGGCCCAGACAGCCAGGAUGUUGGCUUAGAAGCAGCCAUCAUUUAAAGAAAGCGUAAUAGCUCACUGGUCGAGUCGGCCUGCGCGGAAGAUGUAACGGGGCUAAACCAUGCACCGAAGCUGCGGCAGCGACACUAUGUGUUGUUGGGUAGGGGAGCGUUCUGUAAGCCUGUGAAGGUGUGCUGUGAGGCAUGCUGGAGGUAUCAGAAGUGCGAAUGCUGACAUAAGUAACGAUAAAGCGGGUGAAAAGCCCGCUCGCCGGAAGACCAAGGGUUCCUGUCCAACGUUAAUCGGGGCAGGGUGAGUCGACCCCUAAGGCGAGGCCGAAAGGCGUAGUCGAUGGGAAACAGGUUAAUAUUCCUGUACUUGGUGUUACUGCGAAGGGGGGACGGAGAAGGCUAUGUUGGCCGGGCGACGGUUGUCCCGGUUUAAGCGUGUAGGCUGGUUUUCCAGGCAAAUCCGGAAAAUCAAGGCUGAGGCGUGAUGACGAGGCACUACGGUGCUGAAGCAACAAAUGCCCUGCUUCCAGGAAAAGCCUCUAAGCAUCAGGUAACAUCAAAUCGUACCCCAAACCGACACAGGUGGUCAGGUAGAGAAUACCAAGGCGCUUGAGAGAACUCGGGUGAAGGAACUAGGCAAAAUGGUGCCGUAACUUCGGGAGAAGGCACGCUGAUAUGUAGGUGAGGUCCCUCGCGGAUGGAGCUGAAAUCAGUCGAAGAUACCAGCUGGCUGCAACUGUUUAUUAAAAACACAGCACUGUGCAAACACGAAAGUGGACGUAUACGGUGUGACGCCUGCCCGGUGCCGGAAGGUUAAUUGAUGGGGUUAGCCGCAAGGCGAAGCUCUUGAUCGAAGCCCCGGUAAACGGCGGCCGUAACUAUAACGGUCCUAAGGUAGCGAAAUUCCUUGUCGGGUAAGUUCCGACCUGCACGAAUGGCGUAAUGAUGGCCAGGCUGUCUCCACCCGAGACUCAGUGAAAUUGAACUCGCUGUGAAGAUGCAGUGUACCCGCGGCAAGACGGAAAGACCCCGUGAACCUUUACUAUAGCUUGACACUGAACAUUGAGCCUUGAUGUGUAGGAUAGGUGGGAGGCUUAGAAGUGUGGACGCCAGUCUGCAUGGAGCCGACCUUGAAAUACCACCCUUUAAUGUUUGAUGUUCUAACGUUGACCCGUAAUCCGGGUUGCGGACAGUGUCUGGUGGGUAGUUUGACUGGGGCGGUCUCCUCCUAAAGAGUAACGGAGGAGCACGAAGGUUGGCUAAUCCUGGUCGGACAUCAGGAGGUUAGUGCAAUGGCAUAAGCCAGCUUGACUGCGAGCGUGACGGCGCGAGCAGGUGCGAAAGCAGGUCAUAGUGAUCCGGUGGUUCUGAAUGGAAGGGCCAUCGCUCAACGGAUAAAAGGUACUCCGGGGAUAACAGGCUGAUACCGCCCAAGAGUUCAUAUCGACGGCGGUGUUUGGCACCUCGAUGUCGGCUCAUCACAUCCUGGGGCUGAAGUAGGUCCCAAGGGUAUGGCUGUUCGCCAUUUAAAGUGGUACGCGAGCUGGGUUUAGAACGUCGUGAGACAGUUCGGUCCCUAUCUGCCGUGGGCGCUGGAGAACUGAGGGGGGCUGCUCCUAGUACGAGAGGACCGGAGUGGACGCAUCACUGGUGUUCGGGUUGUCAUGCCAAUGGCACUGCCCGGUAGCUAAAUGCGGAAGAGAUAAGUGCUGAAAGCAUCUAAGCACGAAACUUGCCCCGAGAUGAGUUCUCCCUGACCCUUUAAGGGUCCUGAAGGAACGUUGAAGACGACGACGUUGAUAGGCCGGGUGUGUAAGCGCAGCGAUGCGUUGAGCUAACCGGUACUAAUGAACCGUGAGGCUUAACCUU
This 2904-nucleotide ribosomal RNA is filed under the name Escherichia coli. Its description in RNAcentral is "23S ribosomal RNA". It matches the Rfam family "Bacterial large subunit ribosomal RNA". Lineage: Bacteria; Pseudomonadati; Pseudomonadota; Gammaproteobacteria; Enterobacterales; Enterobacteriaceae. The record is from RNAcentral.